Molecule: long non-coding RNA, 323 nt
Filed under: Rattus norvegicus (Norway rat)
Lineage: Eukaryota; Metazoa; Chordata; Mammalia; Rodentia; Muridae
Description: long non-coding RNA NONRATT002490
Source: RNAcentral
GGACGGUGAUGAAAUCGGGCCCUGAGAUCGUAAAGGCGGGUCUGCGCUCCUUCUUCGAGAGUGCCUCGGAGGACAUUGAGAAGAUGGUGGAGAACCUGCGGCUAGGCAAGGUGUCCCAGGCACGCACGCAGGUGAAGGGUGUGGGCCAGAACCUCACCUACACCACAGUGGCUCUGCUGCCUGUCCUCACCACCCUCUUCCAGCACAUCGCCCAGCACCAGUUCGGAGAUGAUGUCAUCCUGGAUGACGUUCAAGUUUCUUGCUACCGAACACUAUGCAGUAUCUACUCUCUGGGAACCACCAGGAACCCCUACGUGGAAAAG